UAAUGCCAGCAAAGGAUGGUUUGAUA
Molecule: non-coding RNA, 26 nt
Filed under: Homo sapiens (human)
Lineage: Eukaryota; Metazoa; Chordata; Mammalia; Primates; Hominidae
Source: RNAcentral